RNAcentral lists this ribosomal RNA (490 nucleotides) under uncultured bacterium. RNAcentral's name for it is "partial 16S ribosomal RNA". It matches the Rfam family "Bacterial small subunit ribosomal RNA", at positions 30 to 507 of the family's 1533-position model. The record is from RNAcentral.
AUUGAACGCUGGCGGCAGGCCUAACACAUGCAAGUCGAACGGUAACAGGAAGAAGCUUGCUUCUUUGCUGACGAGUGGCGGACGGGUGAGUAAUGUCUGGGAAACUGCCUGAUGGAGGGGGAUAACUACUGGAAACGGUAGCUAAUACCGCAUAACGUCGCAAGACCAAAGAGGGGGACCUUCGGGCCCCUUGCCAUCGGAUGUGCCCAGAUGGGAUUAGCUUGUUGGUGGGGUAACGGCUCACCAAGGCGACGAUCCCUAGCUGGUCUGAGAGGAUGACCAGCCACACUGGAACUGAGACACGGUCCAGACUCCUACGGGAGGCAGCAGUGGGGAAUAUUGCACAAUGGGCGCAAGCCUGAUGCAGCCAUGCCGCGUGUAUGAAGAAGGCCUUCGGGUUGUAAAGUACUUUCAGCGGGGAGGAAGGGAGUAAAGUUAAUACCUUUGCUCAUUGACGUUACCCGCAGAAGAAGCACCGGCUAACUCCGUG